CCUACGGGGGGCAGCAGUGAGGAAUAUUGGUCAAUGGACUAGAGUCUGAACCAGCCAAGUAGCGUGAAGGAUGACUGCCCUAUGGGUUGUAAACUUCUUUUAUAUGGGAGUAAAAUGUUCCACGUGUGGGAUUUUGUAUGUACCAUAUGAAUAAGGAUCGGCUAACGCCGUGACAGAAGUCGCGGUAAUACGGAGGAUCCGAGCGUUAUCCGGAUUUUUUGGGGUUAAAGGGAGCGUAGGUGGAUUGUUAAGUCAGUUGUGAAAGUUUGCGGCUCAACCGUAAAAUUGCAGUUGAAACUGGCAGUCUUGAGUACAGUAGAGGUGGGCGGAAUUCGUGGUGUAGCGGUGAAAUGCUUAGAUAUCACGAAGAACUCCGAUUGCGAAGGCAGCUCACUGGACUGCAACUGACACUGAGGCUCGAAAGUGUGGGUAUCAAACAGGAUUAGAUACCCUAGUAGUC
This 460-nucleotide ribosomal RNA is filed under the name uncultured bacterium. RNAcentral describes it as "partial 16S ribosomal RNA". It matches the Rfam family "Bacterial small subunit ribosomal RNA", at positions 338 to 795 of the family's 1533-position model. The record is from RNAcentral.